Ailuropoda melanoleuca (giant panda) is the source of this 5769-nucleotide long non-coding RNA. RefSeq lists it as uncharacterized. The record is from RefSeq and is a predicted model, not a curated record. The transcript has 3 exons. Lineage: Eukaryota; Metazoa; Chordata; Mammalia; Carnivora; Ursidae.
CUUCUCACCUGGCUGGGGGUGGGAGACUGCAUUUCGUGCAGCUACUAGACACUAUGUGCCAUAAAAAGAGUUUGCAGUGACCUGGCCCAAGGAAUUAAGGGAGAAGGUCCUGCCUCACCUUGGCUUGGAGCAAGGCUCCUGCUUCUGCCCGGUUCUUUUCGACAUCUUUCUCCCAGUGGAUCCUGAUGGUCUCAAGGAUGUCGUCCAGACCAGUGCCAAUGGGAACACCCAUUUGUUCCAGUUCAGACCCUGCCAACUGUUUGUACAACACUUUCACAUCCUGCAAAUGACAAUAUACACUUCAGGUGAAUUCCAGAGGACAAGGAAAGCAGACAGAAUUUCAGCCAGCAGAAUCCCAGGCUGCAUAUGUCAAACCCUGCCAAUGAUUUAUUGGACCCAUCUCUGAAGUCUGCUCAUGGCCACCAUCCCAGGCAGACCCUGAGCUAUAAAAGCCUCUGAUUGCCUUCCCACAACUGACCUACAGUCUUGCCCCCAGAGGGACCAUCCUUAACCACAUUGGGUCACCAUCUGCUCAGAGACCUAAGUGUCAUCCUCUGGCCCCUUAGUAAUCUGAUCUUGCCUUCCUUUUCAACCUUGGGUCCUGGUGCAGACCCUACCCUGCCAUGCGUCUAGCCUGUUUGCUCCCACUGCUUCUUGCUCAUUUGCCCCACCUCUCCUCUCUAUCAAUACAAAUCUCCCUUUAAAGGUGAAGUCAGGUCAUGAUGAGCCACUGCUCAGAUCCCUUCUAUGGGUCUCAUCUCAAGUCAUCUCUGAGAGAUUUGGUAUGGCUGACACGGUCCUCCGGGAUUUGAUCUCUCCCUGGUUUUUUAGCCUCAUUGGUUGUCCCUCCUUCCUUCACUCCAUAUGCCCCAGUUAUAAUGAACUACAUGGUGGCCACUAAUGCACCAUGCUUUCUCAUGUCCUUCUGCCUUAGCACAUACUGUCCCCUCUGCCGGGAAACUCAUGCCUCCUUCCUUGGCCUGGUCAACUCCUACACAAAUUUAGUGUCCAAAUUAGGCGUCACCUCUUUUGUCAACCUUCCCUGGCAAGACUAAAUGUCCCCAUUUCACUUGUGCUCCUCUCAGUGAUGGCACAACCACUGUGUGAUGCCACUGUCUGUUCACUCCUCUGUCUUUGGUACUAAACUGUGAGCUCCUGGAGGUCUCAUUCACUUCAUUCCCAGUACUUGGCCAGGGGCCUGGCAGAUAUUCAAAUAUUUGUUGAAUUCAUUCAUUUAUUCACUAAUUCAAAAACUAUUUGUUGGGCAUCAAUCUUGUGUGCGGCACUGUUAUAGAUGCUCACAGUACAAUGGGGAACCAAAUAGACCAAGCCCCUGCUACUCUGUUGAAUGGCUGGAUGAAGGCAUGAACACAUGAUGAAUAAAUGAAUGAGUGAAAGAAAUUUUGGUCAGAUCCUACCUUAACUUCACACUUAAUUAAAUUCUAUCUUAAAUUUAGUAGAAAUGGCUUCAUGUCUAUUGGCAUCUAUCUUUAGCUGUGCAGUAAGCCGUCGGCGGCUGGAUGAUGGCUUGAUUUUUUUUGUGCUCCUGUGACCUUGGCGAACACAGUGUUGUCCAAGACACCAACCCCAGCUGAUUGAGAGCCUCCUUGACUCCAGAGUGGCCACUAGUGGAGAUCCUUUUAGCAGAUGGAGAAGCUUGGUCUUAGAAAAAGGAAAGGACUCUGGGUCUGAGGAGAUGGUAGAGAUUUUCCUUUUCAUCACAAUACUCUUCUUAUCCUGAGAUAAGAAUGGCAGUGGGAUGGAUCACUGUCUUUCCCCAAAGACUCCCAACUAUAUGCCUUUCCUCUUUGUCUACCAAUUUAGGGAAAUGUUCCCUAACUAUCUAUCCCACCACUCAUCCAAUUGCCCCACAUCCAGAAAACCUUCCCCACAGAAUAUUCUCAAAAUCACUGUGUUCAUCAAUGGGAGGUCUUUUUCAUUUCAUUUCUCCAUUAGACCAGUGUUUCCCAAACCUCACUCGCCAUCAUGAUUUCACCCUAAAUGCGUCUCUCUCCUAUCAUUAUUUACUUUACAUUGUUCCUUAAACUCAUCUUCUUAAAAAGUAAAUGUUAAAUCAGUAUACUUGAAAAGCUCUUUAUAUUCAAUAAAUUUUAAAUUGCUACUAUAAAUUGUAGUGCUAUAGUGGAAAAACAGUUUCAUGAGUCAUAAAUAGAGGGUAACUCUAAAAAUACAUAACUAUUAAAAAUAAAAUGUUUAUCCUUAUACCACUUAAAAUGGUCUUCAUCAGUGUCAUAUACACCAUAUUUUAGGAAACACUAUAUUAGACUUCGAAGAGGUGUUUUUCAACGCUGGGGAGUUAAAAAUACUGAGGCCUGGCCCCCACGCCCGGGGACUGUGGUUUAAUUAGUCUGUGCAGCUUGAGCAUUGACAUUUUCAAGUGGCCAGGUAAUUCUAACAUGCAGCUGCAAUGGAGAAGCGUUGCUCAAACCCAGCAGUCCUUCAAGCAUGCUGCCAGGACCAGCAGGAUCAGCAUCCUGGGGAACUUGUGAGAAAUCGAAGUUUGGGGCCCCACCCCAGGCUAUUGAAUCAAACACUCAGAGGGUGGGGCACAGCGAUCUGUGUUUUCUGUAAGAGCUCCUGGUGGUCCUGAAGUGUGCCACAAUUUGAGAACCCCUGCUCUGGACGGGGUGACACUGGGCAAAAUCUCCAAGCCCUUGGGACCUGGUUUGUGUCUAUAAGGAGGGUUUGAGCUGAACGAUCUUUGCUUCGGAUUCUCCCGGGACCUCUAUGAUCCCACUCCAGCCUUCUGUGCCACCGGCAGUGAAUGCUGCAGACCCCAGAACAGCAGCACUCGACUUGCCCAGGAGUCUGGGCGAGCGGAAGGACUGUCCCCUCUGCAGCAGAUGUUACCUCUCUUUAAAGUCGUCCGCACCCGCCUGGAUAUUCUCUGUCCGAAGCAUGAGCCGGGCAUUUUCCAGAACUGCCUCGCCCACCUAGAAAGAUCACACACAUCAGAGGAGACAAGGUCACUGGACUGUCUUCCCUCCCUUCCCACCAUGACUCGCACCAGGCACAGAGGUUCUGGAACUUAGAGCACCUUUCUUACAGCAAAUAUUUUUAGAACUCAAGCGUCUCUCUCCAAAAAGGUGGGGAGGAGAUAAACCAUAAAUCAUAAAAUCUGGAUGUCUUUUAAGAGCCUUUAGAGUUGGAUUUUUGGAGCUAAAAUAUUACCCAAAGGCAGACUUGUUCAUAGCCUCUGUCAUAAUGCUGAGCUUUCAACUACCAGUGAAGUUUCUGGCUCCUUAAAUGAAGAUUCCCUGGUUUCACUUAGUGGCUCUUCACAUUUUCUGGUCAUGGAUGCCCUUGAAAAGCUGAUGAAAUCUCUAGUACAGUGCUGCCCAAUAGAACUUUCUGUGAUGAUGGAACUCUUCUAUGUCCGCACCAUCCAUCACAGUGGCCACACAUGGCUACUGAACACUCAAAAUGUGGCAAGAAUGACUGAGGAACUGAAAAUUUAAUUUUAUUUAAAUUUAAUUUAUCGUUAUUUUUAAUAGAUUCUUUUUGGGGGGGAAGAGAGAGCACAUGAACUGGCAGAAGGAGAGGGAGAGAGAAUCUUAAGCAGGCUCCACGCUCAGCACAGAGCCUGACUAGCAUGGUGUGGCCAACAGAUCAGGAGAUGACUGACAUUGAAAAGAUGUUAUUCGGAAUUCCUAGGGGGAAGGGCAGCCCCACUAUGCAGGGCCAGAGGAGGAAGUACCAGGGUUGGUCUCAAAAGGAUGAGGGGGAAGUGUAGGCAAAAGACUUUAUUGUGGUUUUCAUGGGAAGGAAUGGGUGAAGCAGGGUAAGCAGUUGAGCAGGUUAAGGAUUGGGUAGUUUGAAGAAUUUCAGUGGUCUCUGGGCCUCUGGGGUGGUCUCUGGGCACCUGGGAUGCUUAGGGCAGAGGAAUACUGCUUCCUGGAGCGUAAGAGCCAGAAAGAGGAGGCAGGUGGGGAUAUGGGCUCAGGAUCGGCUGGGUUUGCACAGCAAAAGCAUGGCAAGUGGUUUACUAUCUCAAAGAUUCACUAGCUUUGUGGGGGCGGCCUCGCCCUAACAGUGAGACCCCAGAUGCCAGAGCAUCAAGAACACAGAAAAAACGAAAAUAGAGUUAAUAUUGUUGAAUAUAGUUCGUCCAGAGGGUCAUGGCUACCUGAGGCGCCCCUGAGGAUUGGCCUUGGCUGCCCUGGCUGAGUCCUCUCUUCAGUCUUCUUCACACAGCAGCAGUCCCCACAUUGGGGAGCUCCUUUUCCAGUCUUUGGAUGCCACUUUGCCAAUGCCAUUUUUCAGAUGACAAACUCAAAGCCAAAGGCAAUCACCCUGCUCAAUUUCUCACAAUGAUGCCCAUGGCAAAUGACUCACUCUAGUGCAGGACACCGAAUCAUAGCGGGUGUCUAGACUGUGGGCUGGAGCAUGACUGCUGUAGAGAUGAAGGUUUUACUGUCAUUCUAGAUGACGUGGCCAUGGGAGGGCAGCUGUAGGCAGAUGUGGGGCCUGGGGCUUAUGCAAUUUGGGAGACUGCCUUUAAGAAAAAGAAAAAAAAAAGUCUAAUACAAAGGUGUGCACAAGAGUGAGGGACCCUGAAGCUUAAAUUCUUAAAAUUCUUCACCUUGAUACAGCUUAAUUUUGUCUAUUGACGUGUUUCUGCUUUUUAAACAUGGGACCCAGCGGGUGGGCUGGAAAAAGUAAAAACACUCUGAAGCAUAGGUUGAAUAUACAUAUUUGGAGGCCUACAAUUCUGGAAAAGCAGAGAGAUGGCUGAAAAUGCAAUCACCCCAAAUCCUGCCUUCCAGGAGAAGCACGGCCAGCAUUUGGAUGUAUUGUACUUCGUUUCAGCCUUUGCUUUGCACUGCUACAAUAGUAGCCAGUGUGUUAAUUAUUAACACUUCCCUGGUUGAUUGCAAACUAUGAUGAAGAGGCAACAAGGAGCAAACCUCGAAGGAGUCUGGUAGGAAGUGCCAGCUGCUCAAAGAUGGGCCGCAGUGAGGGGCCGGCUGCCCCAUGUCCUUGCUCCUCCUUCUCACUUGGGCUUGAGGACAGGAGCGCUUUCUGGGAUAAAUUGGACACUGUCCAGCAGAGAGGGUAGUUCUGUCCAAAAGUCUGUCCUGGGAGGCUCGUGCAGUACUCAGCUCAGGGAAGCUGGAGUUCCUGCUCUAGCCGAUGUUUAGUAACAACCAGGGGCUUAUUUGAGCCUCAAGCCGAGGCUAAUUAUAGGCCCUGACUUGCCAAAGCUCAGUGGCUGGCGCUGCUUCCCCAUCUUCACAGAAGGAUCUUAAAAUAACCCGCCAGCCCUCAAGUCAGCCGGAGAGCCCCUCGUGUUCUCCUGUAGGUAGCUCGGCUUAGCAGAGGGGGGUCCUCUCUGGUGGUAGGGGCGGCUCUGCCUCCUCCACUGUAGAAAGGGCCAGGGAGGUGGCAGGACGAGGGCUGGGACCUUGGCUGAGGUUUAGCACAGGCCCAGGACCGGGAUGGUGGCCAAGGCCAAAAGCAAAGCAUGGAGAGCCUGCCGUGGAGCAGGCUCUCUGUCUCCACCUGGAAGGCUUCAUGAAAUCCUCCCCAGGGCUGAGGACAGAACUGCAGAGGGGAGGGAAUGUACUGACCACCUACAGAUAUGCCCAGCCCACAUGCUGGGGCUGGCUUGUCCUGGCUUGCCAGGGCAGACUGGUAAAGAUUUCAGGAGUUUUGGGAGCCAGUGGUUAAACACAGCCAUCAUGAAAGUUUUAAUUAUGUGAACUUACAAUUACAUAAAUUGUAUGAAAAACCCAGUUAAUAAAUACU